Molecule: non-coding RNA, 439 nt
Organism: Tachyglossus aculeatus (Australian echidna)
Lineage: Eukaryota; Metazoa; Chordata; Mammalia; Monotremata; Tachyglossidae
Source: the annotation of a RefSeq genome assembly
CCAGAUCUGUUGUCUGUGUUGUUCCCUUCCUGCCCCCAGAACUGUUCUCAGAGCCCCCACCAUGCGGUCUGCCCUCAGUUUGCUUUCCAUCCUGACCCUGCUCCAAGGUGUCCAGGGUGAUGUCCAGCUGGUGGAGUCUGGGGGAGACGUGAGACAGCCCGGCGGGUCUCUGCGCCUCUCCUGUAAAGCCUCCGGAUUGACCAGCAGCUACUACUACAUGCACUGGGUCCGCCAGGCUCCAGGGAAGGGGCUGGAGUGGGUCGCUAGGGUUUAUAAUGAUGGUAGUAGCACCGGCUAUGCGGACUCUGUGAAAGGCCGGUUCACCAUCUCCUGGGAUAAGUCCAACAGCCUCCUGAGUUUGCAAAUGAACAGCCUGAAAACCGAGGACAUGGCCCUCUAUUACUGUGCUACAGACACAGUGAAAGAAACCAUAUUCUGA